Molecule: ribosomal RNA, 1396 nt
Filed under: uncultured organism
Description: bacterial SSU rRNA
Rfam family: Bacterial small subunit ribosomal RNA
Source: RNAcentral
AGUGGCGGAAGGGCGAGUAAUGUAUGGGUAACGUACCUCUUGCACGAGGAUAGCCGCGGGAAACUGCGGGUAAUACUCGAUGCUGUCCUAGGGUCAUAUGACCUCUGGAUGANAGGCGGGGAUCUUCGGACCUGUCGGCAGGAGAGCGGCCCAUAUGCUAUCAGCUAGUUGGUGAGGUAACGGCUCACCCAAGGCGACGACGGCUAGCGGGACUGAGAGGUUGGCCCGCCACAUCGGGACUGAGACACUGCCCGGACCUCCACGGAGGGCUGCAGUAACGGAUAUUGGGCAAUGGGCGAAAGCCUGACCCAGCAAUGCCGCGUGCAGGAUGAAGCCCCUAGGGGUGUAAACUGCUGUCAGGGGUCAGAAAGCUGGUUUCGGCCAGUUGAUCAACCCCAGAGGAAGUCACGGCUAACUUCGUGCCAGCAGCCGCGGUAAUACGAAGGUGGCAAGCGUUAUUCGGAAUCAUUGGGCUUAAAGGGCACGCAGGCGGAGCAGUGUGUGUUGUGUGAAAUCCCCCGGCUUAACCGGGGAAUUGCACAGCAAACUGCUGUUCUUGAGGCAGGUAGGGGUGCAUGGAACUCUUGGUGGAGCGGUGGAAUGCGUAGAUAUCAAGAGGAACGCCAGAGGUGAAGACGGUGCACUGGGCCUGUCCUGACGCUGAGGUGCGAAAGCGUGGGGAGCGAACGGGAUUAGAUACCCCGGUAGUCCACGCCGUAAACGAUGUCUACUAGGUCGUGGGUGUUCUGACACAUUCACGGCCGGAGCAAAAGUGUUUAGUAGACCGCCUGGGGAGUACGGCCGCAAGGUUAAAACUCAAAUGAAUUGACGGGGGCUCACACAAGCGGUGGAGCAUGUGGAUUAAUUCGAAGCAACGCGCAGAACCUUACCUGGGUUUGACAUGCUUGUAUGCCUUCUCUGAAAGGAGUUAGGCUGCCUUCGGGUGAAACUUGCACAGGUGCUGCAUGGCUGUCGUCAGCUCGUGUCGUGAGAUGUCGGGUUAAGUCCUUUAACGAGCGAAACCCUUGCCGUUAGUUGCCAGCGAGUAAUGUCGGGGACUCUAACGGGACUGCCGGUGUUAAACCGGAGGAAGGUGGGGAUGACGUCAAGUCCUCAUGGCCUUUAUGCCCAGGGCUUCACACGUGCUACAAUGGCAAUUACAGAGCGACGCGAUACCGCGAGGUGGAGCAAAUCGCAAAAAAAUUGCCUCAGUUCGGAUUGCAGGCUGGCAAUUCGCCUGCAUGAAGUCGGAAUCGCUAGUAAUCGCGUAUCAGCAAUGACGCGGUGAAUGUGUUCCUGAGCCUUGUACACACCGCCCGUCAAGUGAUGGAAGCCGGGAGUGCCCGAAGUCGGGUUGCUAACCUUUGGGAGGCGCCUGCCGACGGUAAGUUCGGUG